Dioscorea cayenensis subsp. rotundata (Guinea yam) is the source of this 5068-nucleotide RNA transcript. It is a transcript of the gene named probable disease resistance protein At4g27220, with no coding region annotated. The transcript is spliced from 6 exons. The record is from RefSeq and is a predicted model, not a curated record. NCBI's taxonomy places the organism in Eukaryota, Viridiplantae, Streptophyta, Magnoliopsida, Dioscoreales, Dioscoreaceae.
AAGACGCGUGUUGACGAAAGCAGUCGUGAGUGUAGGAUUAUUUCAAGACUCCGCGGAUACAUUAUACCUGCAGAGAAACUGAAUAUAAAAGAAGGUUAUGAACUAUUAGAAGUAGAAGGCGCUCUGGUGAAUAAAAAGGCAUCUUGAUUGUGGUGGAGUGAAGGCCCUGGUUUCUCUCAAAGUGUUUGGGAGCAGGGAUUGGUUUUCUUUCUUGUUUUCUUGGUUUUCUAAUUCCUGGCAUUUAAUUCCAGUUGAUUUGAUACAUUUUGAUUUAUCCAUUACAGACCACAGCCCUGCAUAGGAACUUGUCUAUUCUCCUCUCCAUCAACUCACUUCAGUUAAGGUUAUUGCAGAGAAUGGACUGGUUAAUUAAUAUCAUUUCCGCGUUUGACACUCAAGCAUUUGCCUUCAUUAGAGAACACAUUGGCUACCUUUGGUACUACAAAAGCAACAUUGGCAAGUUGGAGGUUAAAUUUAGAGAACUAGAUGCUCGUCGGGAAGAUAUCCAAAGAAGAGUUGAUACAGCGAAACGUAAGAGAGCUGAAGAGGAAGUCAGUGAAAUUAAAAAUUGGUUCGAGGAAGUAAAAAGAAUGAAACGAGAGGUGGAGAGAAUCAGAGAUGAUUUAGCUUCCGAGAUCUCCACCAAUUACUUUCUAAACAUAAAGUUGCACUACAAACUCGGAAGAGAUGCUGCUAAUCAUAUAAAAACCAUUGAUGAUGAUCUUCGAAGUCGCAAUUUUGAUAUAGUGUCUCACGAGCGUCCACCCCCAAGCACUACAACUUCUCUGUUGUAUAAUGAAGAUUACCUGAUUUUCGAUUCAAGGGAGUCACAUGUGAGGAAAAUACUUGAAGCACUGAAGAAUGAAGCUGUGCACUCAAUUGGGCUUUGGGGCAUGGGAGGAGUGGGAAAGACGAUGUUAGUCAAAGACGCCGCGAAGCAAGCCAAGGAGCAGAGCUUGUUUGGUGAGGUGGUGAUGGUGACCAUAUCACAAAACAUUGAUCUGAAGAGAAUUCAAACUGAGAUAGCAGAGUGUUUGGGUUUUAAAUUAGAGGAAGAAAGUCUAGAAGUAAGAGCUUUCAAACUUGCAGACAGAUUAACGACUACAAGAAACAAAGUAUUGGUGAUAUUAGAUGAUUUAUGGGAGCAGUUGGAUCUGUCAAAGGUUGGGAUUCGACUUCCAGAGAUGGCUACCACUUGCAAAUUGGUGAUCACAACAAGAAACAAAUAUGUCUGUGAAAGAAUGAGUUGCCAAGAGAUAGUUGAGUUGAAUAAAUUAUCAGAUGAAGAAUCUUGGAGUCUAUUCAAGAGAAGAGCAGGGGAUGCAGUAGAAUCUUCCACAAUAAGGGAAUUGGCAUGGAAUGUGAUGAGAGAGUGCGCUGGUCUGCCUAUGGCACUGGUGGUUCUUGGCACAGCACUAAAGGGUAAGAGACCUGUGAUUUGGGAGGUAGUGUUGAUGCAGCUAAAAAGGGUGAAGACGGUGGAUCUCGAAGGCGUGAGUAAAAAACUUUUUCAUUCCAUCAAAGUAAGUUUCGAUUUCUUAGAGAGUAAGGCAGCCAAGUCUUGCUUCUUGCACUGUUGUCUCUACCCUGAAGAUACAAAUAUUCCUAAAGAUGAACUGAUGCAUAUGAUGGUAGGAGGGGGCCUCUUGGCUGAUGUUGAAACUCUAAACGAAGCACAGAGCAGAGUGGAUCUACUGCUUGACUAUCUAAAAGCUUGUGGUUUGCUUCUUCAAGGUUGGCAUGAAGACUUUGUAAGAAUGCAUGAUGUUGUUAGGGAUGUGGCGAUACAGAUCGGUGAUGCGGCAGAUCAUGCGUUCUAUGUAAGAGCUGGGCAAGGCUUGACAGAGUGGCCAAGAACUACUGAGAGUGAGAUGCGAAGGCUUUCAUUGAUGAACACUGAUAUCAAAGAUCUUCCUCCUGAUCCAAUGCAAUAUCCAAAACUUGAGAUGUUGAUCCUGAGACUCAACAAAAGGUUAUCAAGCAUCCCAGAAAUGUUCUUCCAACAUAUGGGAUCUCUGAUGGUUCUUGACUUGAGUCAAACCGGUAUUAAAUCGCUGCCAGAAUCAUUCUCUUGUCUCAUUAAUCUCAGAGCAUUGAACCUGGAAUAUUGUCAUUAUCUAAAAGAUAUAUCUCACAUUAAAGGGUUGAAGAAGCUUGAAAUACUUAUUCUGAAUAAUGCUCAAGUGUCCAUUGCUCCAGAAGGUCUAGAAUGGGCACAAAAUCUGAGGUGUGUUCAUUUGUAUACUGGAGGCUCACCUUCCCUUACUUAUUAUUUUUCCAACGAAUUGCCAAGAUUUCCACGGCUAGAACAAUUGUUCCUAGGCGAGUUUGUAGGUAGCUUUCAAGAGUUGAUUAGCUCGAGGCAUUUAACUCACGUAUUCAUCAUGGAUGGGCUGGAUUUCGAUGAUUCCUUCUUGUCACAGGAGGAGCUAGUCUCACUAGAUUCUUGGGCUGAUCGACUUCUAGAAUUUGGCCUUUCUUUUCUCCAAGGUGAGGCAUGCCAUCUGCCUUUAACCAUUCAUAGAAGAUCUCUCAAACUGAGGGGAACCAAGAAGCCCUUGGCUGUUUGGGUCAAGAAGUUACUUGAAAAAACAACAGCGUUGAAAUUAGUACAAUUUCAGGAAACUGAACUGAUUUCCAUGAACAGCGAUAUCCCACCGCUCGUGUUUUCAAGUUUGAAGUGUCUUGAAGUUGUCAACUGGCCAAAGUUGACCAAGUUGUUGGGCGAUGAGUUAUCGUUGCAUGAAGAAAUCCCACUUAGCCAACUCCAUGAAUUGGUCAUGGACAAUUGUCCUAGGUUGACCAAGUUAAUACCAUCCAGACUUUGUCAGCGAAAUCUGCGGGAACUAUGGAGACUAAAAGUUAUGAAUUGCCCUAUGAUGUUGGAACUGUUCCCAUGUGAUCAAGGAGCCCAUGACAUAAUUGAAUUGCUACCAACACUGAAGGAUCUCUAUUUAAUAGGCCUCCGGAGUCUACAGAAUGCAUUACAACCAUUCCAAUGCCUACCAAACUUGAAGGAUUUGUACAUCUGUGAUUGUGGAGUGAGAUAUGUAGUUUCAUCUGAGAUGGAGACAGUGGCAAUAUUGGCAGAUCCUUUUCCAGCACUAGAGAAUCUUGAUAUCAGAUAUUGCCCAGAGAUGAUUGGGAUGAUCUUUCCUCGUCCUUCUUCUUCGCAAACCCGGUGCUAUUUCCAGGUGCUAAGAGAACUCAGGAUCUGGUCUUGUCCAAGACUAACGCAUCUUCUCUCCUGCAAGCAAGCAAUAAGCAUGCAACAUUUGAGUGAGCUUGAUAUAGUAGAUUGUGAUGCAUUGGAGGCUGUGGUGAUUUCCACAGAGAAUAUAGUGGAAGCAUCUGCAAGCACAUCCACACAUGUUGUUGAUAGUGAAUCUUACAAUAGCCCUUUUCCUAAUUUGAAAGAACUCUUCCUGAAUAAUUUGCCUCAACUCACUGCCUUCUGUCACCCCACAGCACUCCCGAUUGACUGGUUACAUCUUACACAUUCAGGCAUAAUAGAAUGCCCAAAACUACAGCAUCCUUUGUUCGGACCCCGUACACCUGCCCAUGAACUAGUGAAAGACACAAGUGAAGAAGAGGAAGGAGAGACAGAUGAUGCAGCCAUGUUGGACCUCAUUGAUGAUGAAAGUGAAGGAGAGGAAGGAGAGACAGAUGAUGCAGAAGGAGAAGAAGAAGAGACAGAUAAUGCAGAAGAAGAAUAAAAAGAGGGAGGUGAUUCGGAAGUAGAGAUAGAUGAUAACGAGGAGAGGAAGACGAGACAGAAGAGGAAUUAGAAGAGACAGAUGAAGAAGAAGAAAAAGAGGAAGGUGAUUCGGAAUCUGAUCGGCAGCUUGAAGGAUAAAGGACACUUAACUGCUAUGAAUGGUGGAAUGCAACAACUGGAAGUACUGAGAUUAUGCAGACUCGGCAGCUUGGUCCCUUGACCUCAGAAGUAAUUGGAUUGCUUGUAAUGUAAAUGGAGGCAAUUUUGAUCACAGUGGCAAUUCAGAUUCUUGUUGUGUUUACUUGUGUGGUCGUUUGGUUUGGUUGUGCCUUGUUUCAAAUUUCUACUGGUGUUCGGCUACUGAUGGUUACUUAGUUUUGUUUAUUUGUGUUUUGCUGCUUCUGAUGAAAAAAGUUACUAUUGAAAUGGGUUUGGGCUAAACUUUCUUCAAUUGUGCCUGUGAAGAUAACUGCUCAUCCCAAAACUCCGCAAUCUGGUCGUAACUGGCUCUCUGUUGCUCGAGAUGAUAGACUUCAACCUGAAACAUCUCCCCUUAUCCAAGGUCCCGCCUUGGAUAAAUUGAAAGCUUCGGUUUCAGUGAUCAUCAAUAGAUUGAUUACGAAAUUUUUUGGAAAAUAUCAAGUUGGUUUUAUCGAACCAAUGGAAACAAUGGGGAGAAGUUCAGAUCAUGGAUUUUCCAAAUGGGUUUUUUCUCUUUCGUUGCAGCUCCCAUGAAGCAAUGCAGUUGAUUCUGUUCGAUGGUCCUGGACUGUGAACGGACUCGUACUUCAGCUUUUCCCCUGGCAGCCAAAUUUUCAACCCGUUACUGCGAAGUUAUCUAAUGCAGCUAUUUGGGUGCAAAUCCAUCAUUUACCAAUUGAAUGGUGGGAAGAUGAGAUCCUAGAAGACAUUGCUAGCAAGAUUGGCCGUGUUCUUAAGGUAGAUGAGCAAACUUCAUCUCUAAAUCGGGCUAGAUACGCACGGUGAAUUUUUUUUAUCUAUGAGGGGUUUUUGGAUUGGAGAUGAAGAUGAAGAUAAGGUCUUCAUUGAUGUUCAUUAUGAAAGACUCCCAACGUUUUGUUACCGCUGUGGGAUGAUAGGCCAUGGGGCGAGGCCAGUUGUAACCGACUACCGGCGAAUUCUCUGCAACCAUCCUCAAACUCUGAGCUUGGUUCUGGUUUAAGGGUUGGACGGCAGAUGAAUCCCUCGCAGGUAGUCAAAAGGAGGCAGCUAAGCAGCCUGGGCUGGAGAAGUCCACUAAUUCAGAAUCCAUAUCUCCAGAUUUAGAUUUUGGUUCAUCAUGGCUGGUGGCUUCCCGGCGUCGCUCGGGCCGACGCCGUGGUGGCUUAC